UGAAGGUGUAUUGUUUUUAGACUAAGAUUUAGUAGAAUAAAAGAGGGCCUGUAGACUAUAAAUACAAAGAAAAAAACAAAGGAGUUAGAUUAGUUUGAAGAACAGGAAAUAUGGCUCUGUGUACCGGGGCUGCAGCGACAGGAAAUAGUGAACAGGAACUUUGCAUGCCCAUAUAUGGGAACUGAGUGUGUAAAGAAAGAACACAGAGAGACAGACGAGGCCCAUGGAGCAAAUGAAGCCUUUAAGAAAAAUGAAUAUAUUACUAAUUGUAUGCUUUAGUGUCUCAAUACAGGUGGACUCUCUCAACAUUGCAACCUUGAGUUCAGCAGCAGAAAAGUAGAUUAAAAGAAUUGGGAGAAUAAGCCAGUUUUUGGCUCGAAAUUGUGCGGCUGGAUCUCUCACUUUGUCCCUGAAGCGGAGAAGAAGUUCAAAGGACAGUCAAUCGCCUGAUGAAGACCGACAGAACAUCGUGGACUUGAAUACAGCAGGCAAACGACAGUGCCACUGAUCCAUUAACACUGAUGACGACUGACGACCAGCAGCAGCAUGUAAGACUAAUGCAACAUGUACUGUGAAAAUACAGGCUGGGCAGUUGAACAGUGGGAUAAAGAAUUGUGGAAGAGCACUGGACAUUGAGUGAUAUUUUGCCAUGCUGGGACUUAAUCUGAAAGAAAGACUGUAAAGAAACAGAGAAGAAGACAACAGCUGAGUUGAGACUGUGUUUGCUGGAGCUUUGAAGCCCGAACAGGACAUUGUGCAGAGAGGACCAGUGAGAGAUGAAGCUGGACGAGUUUGACUGCGAGAAUAUAGGAUAUAAUUGGAUUGAAAAUUGAAACCUGAACUCAUGAAUUGUUUAGGGAUGUCCACCACAGCAUAACAAAGAGGUAAACAUUAGAAAAGGUUGAAACCAAGUGUUAUUGACAACACCCACAGCCUGUAAAAUUGCAGAGAGACCAUCUUGGAUACAUCAGAGCCACUGCAAAAGGUUGAGGUCCCGAGAAGCCCCGACACCGAGGAGGAAGCGCCUACGCUUGGUUGUUUCGGGGGUGAGGGUGGUAAGUGCGUUCUUGGGGCCCCCGUAGGGUAAGCCCGCACUCCAAUCUCUAUCCGAUCAACUUUUGGCAGCCAGGUGUAGGUGUGAAGGGGAACCCUGAUGGUUACCUUGACUACAAAGCUCACCCUUACAGGACCCCAGCUGAUGCCAACAGCAGCCGAGCCACAAGGCAGACAGAGAAGAUGGACGUACGACAACUUACACCUAAUGGACAUGACACAAGAUCACAUCCAUCCUUGGAUGAAAAGUGACUGAUACAGAUAUGUGUUUAACAAGACCACAGAGAAAGACUGUUAUGUUUGCUCGCACAUGCCGAGCAUAUUGACACAACCAUAUAUGGGAAACACCCUGGGACAGGUGCACUAAUUCUGAUUUCCGACCACCUUCAGAGUGACUUUUGUAAAGUGCACAACAACAACAACAACAACAUCGUCAUCCUGAUCCAGGAAGAAGCCCUCAACUUUAACAAGUUUUAAAGAGACUGUUGAUCGUCAUUGAAUUUUUCUUGAUUUUAUUUUGCUUUUCUUUACUUAUGUUAUUCCCUGUUUAAAGCUGUAAUCUCACAGAUGAUAAGUUUGUCAUUCACAGCAUACGCAGAUGCAUCACAAACUGAUGAAGA
This is a long non-coding RNA of Oreochromis aureus, 1673 nucleotides long. Lineage: Eukaryota; Metazoa; Chordata; Actinopteri; Cichliformes; Cichlidae. The record is from Ensembl.